Molecule: ribosomal RNA, 223 nt
Filed under: uncultured bacterium
Lineage: Bacteria
Description: partial 16S ribosomal RNA
Rfam family: Bacterial small subunit ribosomal RNA
Source: RNAcentral
UAACGCGUGGAUAACCUGCCUCACACUGGGGGAUAACAGUUAGAAAUGACUGCUAAUACCGCAUAAGCGCACAGUACCACAUGGUACAGUGUGAAAAACUCCGGUGGUAUGAGAUGGACCCGCGUCUGAUUAGCUAGUUGGUGAGGUAACGGCCCACCAAGGCAACGAUCAGUAGCCGACCUGAGAGGGUGACCGGCCACAUUGGGACUGAGACACGGCCCAG